GACGAACGCUGGCGGCGUGCUUAACACAUGCAAGUCGAACGGAAAGGCCCUGCUUUUGUGGGGUGCUCGAGUGGCGAACGGGUGAGUAACACGUGAGUAACCUGCCCUUGACUUUGGGAUAACUUCAGGAAACUGGGGCUAAUACCGGAUAGGAGCUCCUGCUGCAUGGUGGGGGUUGGAAAGUUUCGGCGGUUGUGGAUGGACUCGCGGCUUAUCAGCUUGUGGGUGGGGUAGUGGCUUACCAAGGCUUUGACGGGUAGCCGGCCUGAGAGGGUGACCGGCCACAUUGGGACUGAGAUACGGCCCAGACUCCUACGGGCGGCAGCAGUGGAGAACAUUGCACAAUGGGCGGAAGCCUGAUGCAGCAACCCCGCGUGCGGGAUGACGGCCUUCGGGUUGUAAACCGCUUUCGCCUGUGACGAAGCGUGAGUGACGGUAAUGGGUAAAGAAGCACCGGCUAACUACGUG
RNAcentral lists this ribosomal RNA (468 nucleotides) under uncultured bacterium. RNAcentral's name for it is "partial 16S ribosomal RNA". It matches the Rfam family "Bacterial small subunit ribosomal RNA", at positions 28 to 507 of the family's 1533-position model. The record is from RNAcentral.